Molecule: ribosomal RNA, 569 nt
Filed under: Cercozoa sp.
Lineage: Eukaryota; Cercozoa
Description: SSU rRNA
Rfam family: Eukaryotic small subunit ribosomal RNA
Source: RNAcentral
UCGUAGUUGAUAUCUGGUAUAACGUACCUGGCCCGCAGCCUUUAGGCUUGUGUGUGCCGGCGCACGUUUGCCAUCUUUCUAGAAAACGGGUCUGCCAUUAACUUGGUGGGUUCGGGAUCUAGAUCAUUUACUUUGAAAAAAUUAGAGUGUUUAAAGCAAGCAAUUGCUCUGAAUACAUUAGCAUGGAAUAAUAAUCUAGGACUUCGGUUCUAUUUUGUUGGUUUCUAAAACUGAAGUAAUGAUUGAUAGGGACAGUUGGGGGUGCUAGUAUUGGCCGGCCAGAGGUGAAAUUCUUGGAUUCGGUCAAGACUAACUUAUGCGAAAGCAUUCACCAAGGAUGUCUUCUUUAAUCAAGAACGAAAGUUGGGGGAUCGAAGACGAUCAGAUACCGUCGUAGUCUCAACCAUAAACUAUGCCAACUAGGGAUGGGUGAACGUUGCUUUUUCGACUUCAUCCGCACCUUAUGAGAAAUCAAAGUCUUUGGGUUCCGGGGGGAGUAUGGUCGCAAGGCUGAAACUUAAAGGAAUUGACGGAAGGGCACCACCAGGAGUGGAGCCUGCGGCUUAAUC